UCCGGCCGGACCUGACUGCUAUCGGAUUGAUACUAAGCCAUGCUAGUCUUUGUAGUAAUACAAGGCAUACGGCUCAGUAACGCGUAGUCAACCUACCCUAUGGACGGGGAUAAUCUCGGGAAACUGAGCAUAAUACCCGGUAGACCACUUCUCCUGGAAUGGUUAGUGGUUAAAAUGAUUCGUCGCCAUAGGAUGGGACUGCGGCCUAUCAGCUUGUUGGUGAGGUAAUGGCUCACCAAGGCGAUUACAGGUACGGGCUCUGAGAGGAGAGGCCCGGAGAUGGGUACUGAGACAAGGACCCAGGCCCUAUGGGGCGCAGCAGGCGAGAAAACUUUGCAAUGUGCGAAAGCACGACAAGGUUAAUCCGAGUGAUUUCUGCUAAAGGAAUCUUUUACCAGUUCUAAAAAUACUGGCGAAUAAGGGGUGGGCAAGUUCUGGUGUCAGCCGCCGCGGUAAAACCAGCACCUCAAGUGGUCAGGAGGAUUAUUGGGCCUAAAGCAUCCGUAGCCGGCUCUGUAAGUUUUCGGUUAAAUCUAUACGCUCAACGUAUAGGCCGCCGAAAAUACUGCACAGCUAGGGAAUGGGAGAGGUAGACGGUACUCGGUAGGAAGGGGUAAAAUCCUUUGAUCUAUCGAUGACCACCUGUGGCGAAGGCGGUCUACCAGAACAUGUUCGACGGUGAGGGAUGAAAGCUGGGGGAGCAAACCGGAUUAGAUACCCGGGUAGUCCCAGCUGUAAACGAUGCAGACUCGAUAAUGCAUUGGCACAUAGCCAGUGCAG
Molecule: ribosomal RNA, 780 nt
Filed under: uncultured Candidatus Nitrosopumilus sp.
Lineage: Archaea; Thermoproteati; Nitrososphaerota; Nitrososphaeria; Nitrosopumilales; Nitrosopumilaceae
Description: bacterial SSU rRNA
Rfam family: Archaeal small subunit ribosomal RNA
Source: RNAcentral